RNAcentral lists this long non-coding RNA (558 nucleotides) under Volvox carteri. Its description in RNAcentral is "long non-coding RNA (VCAR_LNC002919)". The record is from RNAcentral. Lineage: Eukaryota; Viridiplantae; Chlorophyta; Chlorophyceae; Chlamydomonadales; Volvocaceae.
CGUUACCAUGUCCGAACCGACCACUUUUCCCAAAAAGUUUUAACGUAACGUAGCAUAUGAACUGGCUAUAAGACUUCAAAGUAAUGUUAUGAAAACGAUAAAGUUCUGUCUGCGGCUCUGGUGCCAACGGGGCCUUCAGGUCUGAUGCCUGUGGCUUCAGCGCCGACGGGGCAUGCAAGUCUUUCGUGGGCAGCUGCAGCGCCGACGAUGUGGGCUACUCAUGAGCAGGUCCAGCGUGCGACGGUGGCAGCUCAAAUGUCAGCAGGGCAGGCGGGUCUGAUGAGGGCGGGUACAUAAGCGAUACAUGAUGCUGCAGCAGGUGUACAAGGCGCCUAGGCGCUCGAUUGACUAGAAUAGCAAGGAUAGUGCGGAGGAAUCAGGACCUUUUGCAGAGUUGUCGAUGUUGGGGUUGCAAUAGUCACUAUGACGACGGGUGAUCGCGUUAAGUCCGCGUUAGCUCGCGUUAGUUCGCGUAACGGUGCGAAUCUUAGCGUUAGGUGCGAAUGAGCAUGCUUUUGUAACGCAAAGAGCUAACGCACAACGGCUAUGGAAAAGCGG